CGUGGCAGCCAUGGAGUGGCUUCUCCUUUUGGUGAUUUUGGCAGCUGGCAUUUAUGGAGGAUUACAGCUUUCCAAGCCCCUUCCCAAGCCUCUGAUGUGUUUUGACACUAAUGCUCACGGCCACCCUCUGCGGUACUCAACAAGAAUGAGCUUCGCACAUCCGAUAAGCUAGCAUUUUCAAGAACCUGUAUCCUUGCAGCAAUUAGAAGAAAAAAAAGAAGAAGAAGCAAUCAACUAGAGAAAGUGAUGAUGAUCACAACACCAGUGAAAAUCAGGCCAGGACAGUAUGCGGAAGUGGACAGAAAGGAUAAAAAUCUGCCACCAAGACAACGCGAAAGUACAGGUCCAGCGCAUC
RNAcentral lists this long non-coding RNA (355 nucleotides) under Sus scrofa (pig). RNAcentral describes it as "lncRNA (ENSSSCG00070010026.1)". Lineage: Eukaryota; Metazoa; Chordata; Mammalia; Artiodactyla; Suidae. The record is from RNAcentral.